AUCCCUCCGCUUCGCUUGAAAAGAAGUUAGAAGAUCUCAUAAAGCGGGAGGGAGAGCGAGUGCGCGAGAGAGAAGAGAGACAGAGAAAUCGGAUCAUAGCCGUUGAUCUGGUUUUGGCACGUCGAAUCUCAGCCAUCCGUAUCAUCAUCAACGGCGUGUUGCUCCCUUCGCGGCUGAUGCCGUUCUAUUCUUGAUCUCCGGUGAGUUUUCUGAUCAAUUUGGCAUCUGAAUCCGCGUUGCUUUGCUUAUUUUCUGCUUGCUUCCUGGAUGAAAUUGGAAAUUUAAAAAAAGAAAAGGAAGAAAGGAAUUUGAAUCGAUUGAAUUUGAUCGUGUAAAACGGUUAUAGACGUCUUCUGUUUUGAUCUGAUCUUAUUGUUUAAUAGUGAGUUAAUGUCUACAGAGGUCGGAUAAUGAUUGAAUUGCAAUAAGUUCGUCGGAGAAGAUAACCAAUUCUUGCGAUUUUUCUGUUUGUUUUUCUUUCCUUUGGUUGCUUUUGCUGUUCCUGUCGACGUCGCUGUUUUUUGAUAAUGAUGAUGAUCUGCCGGUUUUCAG
This 552-nucleotide long non-coding RNA is filed under the name Carica papaya (papaya). Its description in RNAcentral is "long non-coding RNA (CPAP_LNC011671)". Lineage: Eukaryota; Viridiplantae; Streptophyta; Magnoliopsida; Brassicales; Caricaceae. The record is from RNAcentral.